This is a non-coding RNA of Pimephales promelas (fathead minnow), 586 nucleotides long. The record is from RefSeq and is a predicted model, not a curated record. NCBI's taxonomy places the organism in Eukaryota, Metazoa, Chordata, Actinopteri, Cypriniformes, Leuciscidae.
AUUUUUUUUGGUUCUUGAAGAUUGUGAAUCAAUUUAAUUGCUUUUUAAUUUCAAACUUUACAGGAAUCUGUAAGGCGCCUCCAUAAUUCAGAGAACAACCCACACAAAUACGUUCCACAAACCAGAAUAAAUUCAUCACAUAACCUGGCAGUGACCACUUACCUCUUCGAAGAAUUAAGGUCAACUUUUACAGACGUUGACCCUGAAUGUGUAAAAGCAGGUUGGAAGAUGUAUUUUGAGACUUUGCGGAGGAAGUAUUCUUUGGCUCAGCCUGAAAAGGCCCAGAAAAGAAAAACUAUGACGAGCAUUGCAAAGAACCUUCAAAGAAAGCGACUGUUGCUGGAGACCAGGUCCGGGGUUGUACAAACCAACACAGAAAAGGAACUUUGGAAGACCGCAACAAUAGAACUGAUGUCUGAUGAAGAUGAUGCUAUUGUUGAUGGAAGGCCAGUGUGAAUGGUGAGGUAUCCACCAAUCUGCUCUCUGCUAGGUACUAUAAAACAGACUAGAGGCUGACCCACACUAUGCGUCACACCACCAGCGUAUCAUGGCAGUUUGAAAAAUGUUAACUCGUAUAAAAAAAAAA